CACACUUUUAAUGUUCUUAUUAAAUUUUCCAUUCGUUUCAGUCACCACUGUUCUUCAGCGUUAACCUUGGUACAAUAUUCAUAGAUUGUAACUCUUGGAAUAAAAGUUUACAUGAAUAAGGACUCUGAUUGUGAUGAGGAUACGGCACUAAGCCAGCACAAACGCCGAGCAAAGUAAAUGGCUCUACUUCCAAGUGAGUCGUUCCUGCUUCAAUUUGGGACUCAUUGAAAGCAAUUGAGCUAUCAUUUUCCUCGUUCACAUCUAAGAAUUCUAUGAGACCUGGGAAACAGAAAAUUGUGAAUUUGGUGCUUCGAUGUGUUUUUGCUGAACAAGAGAUUCUCCAUCUUUGACUAUAAUAUAAGGUCUGCACAGUCUGCCACCAUCCGAACAUAUCUGCACACAUCUGGAGAAAAUUAUUGCAGUAUUAAGACUUCUAAGG
Long non-coding RNA from Neodiprion fabricii, 439 nucleotides. RefSeq lists it as uncharacterized. The transcript has 3 exons. Lineage: Eukaryota; Metazoa; Arthropoda; Insecta; Hymenoptera; Diprionidae. The record is from RefSeq and is a predicted model, not a curated record.